RNAcentral lists this signal recognition particle RNA (299 nucleotides) under Patagioenas fasciata monilis. RNAcentral's name for it is "Metazoan signal recognition particle RNA". It matches the Rfam family "Metazoan signal recognition particle RNA". Rfam says of the family: The signal recognition particle (SRP) is a universally conserved ribonucleoprotein. It is involved in the co-translational targeting of proteins to membranes. The eukaryotic SRP consists of a 300-nucleotide 7S RNA and six proteins: SRPs 72, 68, 54, 19, 14, and 9. Lineage: Eukaryota; Metazoa; Chordata; Aves; Columbiformes; Columbidae. The record is from Rfam by way of RNAcentral.
GCCGGGCACGGUGGCUUGUGCCUGUAAUCCAAGCGCCGGGGAGGCUGAGGCUGGCGGACGGCUUGAGCCCGGGGGUUCUGGGCUGCGGCGAGCUGUGCCGAGCGGGCGUCCACGCUAAGGCCGGCAUCGAUAUGGUGGUCCCGGGGGAGCCGGGGGCCACCAGGUCGCCUAAGGAGGGGUGAACCGGCCCAGGUCGGAGACGGAGCAGGUCAAAGCUCCCGUGCCGCUCGGUAGCGGGAUGGCGCCUGUGAACAGUCCCUGUAGCACAGCCCGGGCAAGAGAGCGGGACCCAGCCUCUU